RNAcentral lists this small RNA (168 nucleotides) under human gut metagenome. RNAcentral's name for it is "Clostridiales-1 RNA". It matches the Rfam family "Clostridiales-1 RNA". The record is from RNAcentral.
GAUACCAGGGUUCCAAAGUCAAAAUCUGACGCAAGCUUGCUUGCAGGAAGAUUUCUGACCUCGGAACCCGCCAAAAAUAUGAGUAAGUAGCCAUUUUUCAAAGAAAAAUGCGCGGAUUAUGAAUAUUUUUGAGGAUUGCGGAAGUGCAAGGCACGUAGCAAUCCGGGC